GACGAACGCUGGCGGCGUGCUUAACACAUGCAAGUCGAACGGAAAGGCCCUGCUUUUGUGGGGUGCUCGAGUGGCGAACGGGUGAGUAACACGUGAGUAACCUGCCCUUGACUUCGGGAUAACUUCAGGAAACUGGGGCUAAUACCGGAUAGGAGCUCCUGCUGCAUGGUGGGGGUUGGAAAGUUUCGGCGGUUGGGGAUGGACUCGCGGCUUACCAGCUUGUUGGUGGGGUAGUGGCUUACCAAGGCUAUGACGGGUAGCCGGCCUGAGAGGGUGACCGGCCACAUUGGGACUGAGAUACGGCCCAGACUCCUACGGGAGGCAGCAGUGGGGAAUAUUGCACAAUGGGCGGAAGCCUGAUGCAGCAACGCCGCGUGCGGGAUGACGGCCUUCGGGUUGUAAACCGCUUUCGCCUGUGACGAAGCGUGAGUGACGGUAAUGGGUAAAGAAGCACCGGCUAACUACGUG
Molecule: ribosomal RNA, 468 nt
Filed under: uncultured bacterium
Lineage: Bacteria
Description: partial 16S ribosomal RNA
Rfam family: Bacterial small subunit ribosomal RNA
Source: RNAcentral